RNAcentral lists this transfer RNA (71 nucleotides) under Stegodyphus mimosarum. It matches the Rfam family "tRNA". Rfam says of the family: Transfer RNA (tRNA) molecules are approximately 80 nucleotides in length. Their secondary structure includes four short double-helical elements and three loops (D, anti-codon, and T loops). The record is from Rfam by way of RNAcentral. Lineage: Eukaryota; Metazoa; Arthropoda; Arachnida; Araneae; Eresidae.
GCCUUCAUGGUGUAACGGUAGCACACUCGGCCUGUAUCCGAGAGGUCCAGGUUCGAAUCCCACAGAAAGCA